This 1054-nucleotide long non-coding RNA is filed under the name Linum usitatissimum (flax). Its description in RNAcentral is "long non-coding RNA (LUSI_LNC007991)". Lineage: Eukaryota; Viridiplantae; Streptophyta; Magnoliopsida; Malpighiales; Linaceae. The record is from RNAcentral.
GGAGGUCCAGUAUCCAUAGACGUUCCAGUCGGAGGAAUUAAGACGAAGCCAGAGGAGCAUAUGUGAAAUUUGUUUAUACAGAGUAAACCUUGCGCGAGAGGUCGAGAAAGAGAGAUGGUCCAACCCAGCAAAGAGCCGUGCAAGAAAGAAGCAUGCGACAUUCAAGCUUGUCUUUCCAAGAACAAUUUCCUCCCUCAAAGGUAAUAUGAAAUCAUGGUUUCCAUACUCUCUUCGCCAAUUAUGUGUUGGUGAUUAGGGUUUUGUGUACUGAUCGAACUAUUCUGGGUUUUACCCUUUAGGACUGGGUCACUCAAAUUGUUAAUUGUUCGCCCUUCUGUAUCUUAGUUGGUUUCGUUGUAAUUGGUUUUGAAUUGAAUUUUGUUGAUAAUGGAUUAUUAUAUGUACGUUGCUGUCAGCUAAGCUAUUACAAGAAUCGUAAGAGUUGAGAACUAGGAGCCAUUUCCAGUUCCUCUCAUAGGUAGUGGAUCGGAUCAGAUUGGUUUGCAAGAGUAUAAAAUUAAAUUAGCAAGGCAGGGUAUCUAAGGUCCGAUUGCUCUGAGUUGUGGUUUUUGUUAUCCCGCCUAGGAAGGCAUAUAAUGGUAUAUCAAUCAAAUGAUCAAAAUGAUGGAAAUGUUCUUACUUUGCUGAAGAUGAUUGAUAACAGGAAACUGAACAAACAUUUCAAGAUGUUGCUAAAACAAGCAAGUGGUAGUAGUUUAAUCGACAGAUGAUAUUUUCAUGAUGCCAAUCUUAAAAGAAAACUACAGCUGCGUUUGGUUUCACCCUAAACAGGUUCGAUGACAGCAUGGGUCACUGCUUAAUGUUUCAGGUCUUUUCUCUGAAUCUAAGUGCUUGGUUUGACAAUGGUUGACGACGGACUGUGGUUUCUUUCUGGGGACCUUUUUGGCAGGUUUGGAGAUUUUCAUGGGCAUGGGGUGUUGUAGGCUGUUGAUGUUCAAGUCUUUUCUUGAAUGUUGCUUUUGCCAGUUUGUAGCAUAUAUCCAAACCUCCACAGCAUAUACUCAUAGUUGGCUAUGUAUGGGGGUGUUUGCAG